AAGUCGUAACAAGGUUUCCGUAGGUGAACCUGCGGAAGGAUCAUUAACACGUAUCCAACGUUAAACCCCCCUGUGAACCUUCAGAAGUCCGUUCUCGUAACACCAGUGCGCCUCAGCAAUCCCGGUAAAUCAUUGUCGACCAGUAUUGAUUCGGGACCUCUGACAAAUGCCUUACGAUCGAGCUGUACAGUGACAUGGCUUCCAGUGAAUGAAAGUGUCACCGGAUAACGCCUCACGAUUGCUGGGUCGACCACCGGCCAGCUUCCAUGUCAUACUACUUUAUAGUUCGGGCUUGCUAAAUACACGCCCAAAAAAACGAACAACUGUUAACAAUGGAUAUCUUGGUUCUC
This 350-nucleotide unclassified non-coding RNA is filed under the name fungal sp. Its description in RNAcentral is "partial internal transcribed spacer region". The stretch from base 1 to 46 matches the Rfam family "Eukaryotic small subunit ribosomal RNA", at positions 1786 to 1831 of the family's 1831-position model. Lineage: Eukaryota; Fungi. The record is from RNAcentral.